Molecule: long non-coding RNA, 1169 nt
Filed under: Gallus gallus (chicken)
Lineage: Eukaryota; Metazoa; Chordata; Aves; Galliformes; Phasianidae
Description: lncRNA (ENSGALG00010013649.1)
Source: RNAcentral
UCUGGGCUGCACAAACACAGCCGCCUCAGCGCUCCUUGUACAUUAUACAAGCAAUGUGGGCUUGCACCACAGUUACAGACAAUAGGAAACCUUUCUCCAUUAUCUGUGGAGGACGAAGUUACUGAAAAGGCUGCCAGGAAAGCUGCGUAACAACAGCGCAUGAAGGAGCAGAGUGUUCCCCUUUCUGAGAGUGAAACUCCAGGGAUUUUUUCUGACCUCAUUUGUUCAAUAUGCUUGAAGAUCUAUCUGUCCACUACUAAGAAGUCAAGGGCAUGACAAAGCCUGGCCAUUUAGAGAACAGCUUUCUGGAAGUGAGGAACCUGGACCAGCUGCCAGGGAAGGCACUGAGCAAUCUGGAGGGGAUGGAUGCAGAGAUGUCCUGAUCAAGACUGGCAAGGAAACCAAGUAGAGACAACUGUUCCCUACAUCCAUAUUUGAUCCAGAUGAGAUUUUCACUCAUGUCCAGAUAACACUGCUUCCUUGAGAUCCCCUCUACUUUCUUUUCCUGGCCUGUCUGACGAGUGUCUAACACAAACAGCACAACUUGUGUGCAUAGCACUGGGUGAACAGUGACCAGAGCUGGGCUCUUCCCGUGUUUGGUGUGCAGGGAUGCUCAGACAGGCACCAGCUGACCUCCUGGGGUUGAGCUGCAAAACCACUAUUGUCCUGUACUAGGGAAAACAGGUCUCCCCACUGCUCAUCUGCCUCUAAGACCCUCAGGGCAAUGGGAUGUGUUGUGACAGGGUGCUGGUGUCUCCACCAAGGUUAAGGUGACACCAGGAUUCCUGGGCAUGGGCACUGAGAUGCUAUAUCAAAAGUGCUCUGAAAUUAAUUUUGAGAAUUGGGCCAUUUAUAUGUUGGUAAACUCAGCAAGGCUGUAUAGCAGUGUUUCCAUGUGAAGGUGCAGGCUGAUGGUUAGUUAUGACAAAUUAAAUACCAGCAACUACUUAGAUAAGUUAUACAGGAGUGGAUGGCAGUGGAUCAAGGAUAGGGGGAAGAAAAAGUGGAGGAAAAUGAGGGAGUGGAAGCACUGGCAAAGAAAAAUGAGAAAAAAUCAAAAACAUACAACAUUUGCCAACUGAGAUAAAUGUUGCAAAGAUUUUUUUUAAAAGCUGGAAAUGUUCCUUUUCAAUAUAGCUGGGACAAAAAUACAGAUGACUGAAUUCCUG